GGAUCAUUAUCGUUGGGCUUCGGCCCAUUCGAGAUAACACCCUUGCCUUUUUGAGUACCUUUUCGUUUCCUCGGCAGGCUCGCCUGCCAACGGGGACCCUUCAAAACGCUUUGUAAUACCUGUAAUUGUCUGAUAUAACAAGCAAAAAUCAAAACUUUCAACAACGGAUCUCUUGGUUCUGGCAUCGAUGAAGAACGCAGCGAAAUGCGAUAAGUAGUGUGAAUUGCAGAAUUCAGUGAAUCAUCGAAUCUUUGAACGCACAUUGCGCCCUUUGGUAUUCCUUAGGGCAUGCCUGUUCGAGCGUCAUUUAAACCUUCAAGCUCAGCUUGGUGAUGGGUGACUGUCCUCCCCUCGCGGGUGGACUCGCCUCAAAAACAUUGGCGGCCGGUACAUUGGCUUCGAGCGCAGCAGAAACGCGGUCUCGAGCCCGGUGGAUCGGCUCCCAUAAGCCUAUUCUUUUAUUUUGACCUCGGAUCAGGUAGGGAUACCCGCUGAACUUAAGCAUAUCAAUAAGCGGAGGAAAAGAAACCAACAGGGAUUGCCCUAGUAACGGCGAGUGAAGCGGCAACAGCUCAAAUUUGAAAUCUGGCCCUUUCAGGGUCCGAGUUGUAAUUUGUAGAGGGUGCUUUGGCGUUGGCUGUGGUCUAAGUUCCUUGGAACAGGACGUCGCAGAGGGUGAGAAUCCCGUAUGUGGCCGCCAGUCUUCGCCGUGUAAAGCCCCUUCGACGAGUCGAGUUGUUUGGGAAUGCAGCUCUAAAUGGGAGGUAAAUUUCUUCUAAAGCUAAAUAUUGGCCAGAGACCGAUAGCGCACAAGUAGAGUGAUCGAAAGAUGAAAAGCACUUUGGAAAGAGAGUCAAAAAGCACGUGAAAUUGUUGAAAGGGAAGCGCUUGCAGCCAGACUUGCCUGUAGUUGCUCAUCCGGGCUUUUGCCCGGUGCACUCUUCUAUGGGCAGGCCAGCAUCAGUCCCAGCGGUUGGAUAAAUGCCUGUUGAA
Molecule: ribosomal RNA, 993 nt
Filed under: Preussia minima
Lineage: Eukaryota; Fungi; Ascomycota; Dothideomycetes; Pleosporales; Sporormiaceae
Description: eukaryotic LSU rRNA
Rfam family: Eukaryotic large subunit ribosomal RNA (bases 465-993)
Source: RNAcentral